GACGGAUGUGAUACGUCAAGUAUGACCCGGAGAGAUACAUGCUAACUAUGGGUAGAAAGCAGGAACCAUUAUGUAAAGAAUUGCGGGGGUUUACAGAUCUCUUAUACUACCAUCGAUCGACAGAGCGGAACAACCAGAAAAAUCAGUGCCGUUAGAAAGCCGUAUGAUAGGUGGUAACUAUCUUGUACGGUUCGGGGGGGUAAUCGGCGUACUCGUAUCAGUGGGGGGGAAUCUUUGGCUCUAUCGAACAUACAGGGAAUUGGAGGUAGCAUUCUACCGAUGUUAAGUCAUGGACUGGUUCCUUCAGCCCUUUUUCUAUGUGUUGGUGUUCUAUAUGACCGACAUCAGACUCGACUUGUUAGAUAUUACGGAGGUUCAGUGAGCACCAUGCCGAAUCUCUCUACCAUUUCCUUCUCUUUCACUUUGGCCAAUAUGAGUUUACCUGGUACUAGCAGCUUUAUCGGGGAAUUUCCCAUCUCAGUAGGAGCUUUCCAAAGAAAUAGCUUAGUAGCCACAUUAGCCGCGCUUGGGAUGAUUUUAGGCGCGGCGUAUUCCCUUUGGCUAUAUAAUCGUGUGGUUUCUGGAAAUUGCAAACCCGAUUUCCUCCAUAAAUUCUCCGAUCCAAAUGGCAGAGAAGUUUCCAUAUUUAUACCUUUUCUUGUUGGAGGGGCGACCGCCCGUUGAACUACCAUGAAAAAAGGGGUAAACCAAUGUGAUCAUGACAUUGUAGGUGCUUGCGAUGGGACGGAUGCGACUUCCCUCAGUUGGUUUGGGUGGCAUAGCCCGUUGCAGAAGUCCCCCCUUAACCAUUUCUUUGGUCUUUAGGGAGCCAAAGCUUGACUUUACUAAGAAAAAAAGGCUGGCGCAGGAGCCUCUAAAUAGUAGGAAACUGAAGGAAGGAGCGAUGUAAUUGAGCGAGACCGGAAAGAAAGAGGAAGCCCACGGUGCGAAGCGAAGGAACUCAACUCCGUUCUAUCAGUUGAGAUCAUCAGCUCUUCUUAUUUCUUUCUCGGAAAAAAUCACUCUUUGUCUUUCUUUCAUUCUCUGUAUCGGUUAGGAAAUAAUAGGCUCGACUUAGAGGAUCGGAAGGAAAGAAAGGACGGGGGGCAAGGAUGCAUGGUACUUCUCGACCCUGUCUCCGAGGGACAGUUGAAGGAGCGACUCAUGAAUGCUGCCGGGUUGGACGAGCCAAUAACUCUCAGGCCUUCGGUCUCUUUUUUGAGCAAGAAUCACAGCCUUACCGCUACGUGGGCUUCACCAUGAUACGGACUCCAAGUUCUGAUGGCGGAGCACGAGGGGAUUUCUCAGAAAUCUGAUGAUGGGAAUGGAAACCAGAAGCACGACCGGGGUCCAAGAUAAUCAAUAAUCAAUAAGAGUCAGGUAAGCAUGAGACUUUUUGGUAGUAGCGGUGAACCAGAUGGCCGCGGCGAUGGAAUCUGGGACGGAGGACUCGUAGUAUCUCUCUAGAUCUGGCAAAAGCUCAAAUUCUUUGAGCCUCCUAACGUAAUUCGAAUGGGGGCGGACCUGACCGCUUUCGCCCCUCUCCUUAUUUAGUAGGUCAACUUGCACGACUUUACAUAAGCUACGCCCUUCUUCAUUGACUCCUUCUUAGUCGAGCUGCUUCGCACCCUAUCGUUUUGAGUCGUCCGGAGGCGCGAAGCGAAACGACUGUUAAGGAGUGGUAUUAUGAAAUAACUCUCCAAAUAAGGAAGGAGAGGGGAGAAGCGAAACGACUGAAUCUAAUAGGAGUGGUAUUAUGAAAUAGCUCUCCAAAUAAGGAAGGAGAGGGUCAAAGAAUUUGAGGCGAAACGACUGAUUUCAAAUAUUUUUAGGAGUGGUAUUAUUCAAUAGCUCUCAAAAUAAUAAGGAAGGAGAGGGUCAAAGAAUUUGAGGCGAAACGACUGAAUUAUCAUAAAAGAAGGAGCCCUUUAUUUGAAGAAAUAACUCGACUCCAAAUAGAGGAGAGGGGAGAAGCGAAACGACUGAUUUAAAGAAGGAGCCCUUGAUUUUCUGAAAUCACUCUCCAAAUAGUAAGGUUCGAAGAAAGUCGACUGAUAAGGAGUCAAUGAACAAGGGCGAAUUCCUUAUUCUUAACAGGAGUGCAACGAAAGAAAUCCAUAUAAACAUAAUGCACUCCUUCUCAUUGAUAAUGAAGGAGUUUCGCUCUCUCUUUAUUCAAUGAGCUUUGAUCCUUAUCUUUUUGAGUCGAGUUAUUGAAUAAUGCACUCCCACCUAAGAAUAAUAAGGGAUAAUUCCUUUCGCUCUCAAAUUCUUCUCAACUCCUCUCCUAUAUUUUUUUCUACGAGUACCUUCGCUCCUCGCAUAUUUCAUUGCGCCUCUAUUUUGAGUCGAGUUAUUUCAUUGAAUAAUAAUCGUCGGGCUCUGAACCUUAUCAGUCGAGCUGCCCUUGUUCAUUGACUCCUUAUCAGUCGACUUUCUUCGAACCUCCAAACAAACCUUCGCUCCUCUCCUUCCUAACCUCAGUCGAGCCGCUUUCGCUCCUUCGCUCCUUCACAGUCGCUUCGCUUCGCGCCUUCGCAAAUUCUUUGCUCCUUUCCAGUCGCUUCUCAACCUUUGUUCAUUGAUUCAGCUUGAAUCUUGGACUCCUUUCAGUCGAGCCUCCUCUGCUUUUUUAGCCUACGGAGUCUCUCAUUGAGGACCUUUGUUUUCUUUGAGCCUCCGCGCGCUCUUCAUUUUUCAGCGUCUUUCUCGUGGCGGGAAGAGAACAAGAGGAGGUAUCGAUAGUCGGACUGAUUUAUUCCAUAUACUUUGAGUAGGCUUUCUUCUUUCUGGUUGGUACUUAUAGAGGGCGAGCUUUAUUUAAGAGAGAAUGGGGAGUGAAUCUCAUCCGUUUUCGUUCUUGCUUUGGUUCGGGCUCCUCUCUCUCUUAUUCGUAGUUAGGAAGGGGGAAGGAGUCUAAAUCAAUGGACAUUAAUUCACCAUCAUUGAUGGACGUUGCACAUGACACACGAGAAAUUCGACUCAAGGUCCGGCGCUAAUAGAAGUAGCGGACUCUCCUAGUAGCGAAGGAAAAGGGCAGGGCUUUUUUCGUCGUAAUAGUGGGCCGGUCUCAUGAGAUCUAUGCCGGCCGAAUCAAAUUCAGGUCGCAGCAGAGUAAGCUACUCCAGAUGAGUUGACGCCCUCGCCUGGCGCCAUUCCCGGACCUAGCAGCAGACGGGCAGGCCGGGCCAGAAUUCAGACCAGACUCUUCUUUCUUUGAGCUGCUCCCACGCACGCAGACCGGAAGAUCUUGUCCUGGACUGGACAAGUACGUAGAGAUCUUCGUGGGACCGGGGAGGGAGUCUCAAUCGAUCUUUUCUAGGAUUCCUUAUCACGCACGGAGAUCUUUCCAUUGUCAGAGGUGGUAUAACUACCACCUUGAAGAGACUCAGAAAGGUUAGCUUACUACCUGCCUGCCUCUACUACAGAGGUUGACUUUGUACCGCCCGGAGGUCAUAUAGAUCGGAACCCGGAGCGAUAAGAAGGGUCGGUCAAUAGCAUAGCUCUUUCUUUCCCGGGUCUCCUUUCUCCUUCGAAAGGCCUUCGCAUUCCUAAUCCGGUGGGGGGGCCGGACGGCUUUCUUUGCCCCAGCUUGGCGAAUCGCAUCCCCGCGCAACGACAUUCUUUGUGCGCCCCUGACCGUUCUCGCUCAGUCUUUGCAAGGGCUGGGGAGGCAGUCUACGAAGCUCAGCCUAUCGCCACGCCGACCAUCAAAUACGACCUUCUCAAAGAAAAGAUGGAAUGGCCGGCCCCAAGAGCGCUUAUGUCAUAUAGGAAGGCUGGAAAGAAUCCCAUAAGUUCAGAAGAAGAAGAAGUUUGAGUCAUCCGCAUCUCUGGGUCCUUUCAUCCUACAUAUUCCCACGGGGCGGUCGGACGGGUCCUCCGGCGCGAAGCGAAAGGCAUUUAUCUAAGAAAAUCAGAGAAAAGGAGUCCUUCGCAAAUUCUUUGCCCCUAACUACGGGAGUGCAACGAAAGAAUUCCACAGGCUAAUUAAACUAGUCCUCACUGGUUUAAUUUAAACAAAGGCUGAAUUCAAGCUAAUAUGGAUAUAAACAAGUCCUACGGACGGGUUCAAAGAAGAUUUCAAGGACUCCGGACGAGUUCCAGAGGUCUCGACUGAAAGGAGAGUGAGGCGCAAAGAAUUUGCGAAUAAAGUCAAAGAAUGAUCGAAGAAUUUGAGCUUUUCAUUCCACUCAUUCAAUGCCUGAGGACGGACGUAGGACCACUCAAACUUCUGUCCUCCGGACCGGUAGGAAUAAGAGAAAGAAAAGUCCAGGUUGGUUGGUGAGCCUAGUGAUAGGAAACUAUCUAGCUUGGUUCGGAGAGCACUUGUUGGGUUCAAUCUUUCUUUCUUGCUAAAUGUUACGGCCUAAAUGCUAAACUAUUGACCCUACUUGUUCGGAUGGGUGUUCACCCCAAAGUGUUCCCGGACCACAUGCAUACAUCCGUAAGUAACUUAGUGCAACAUGGCAAAUUUCAUUGAGAGGAAUCAGUAAAGAAAAGAAAAAGGAAGA
This is a long non-coding RNA of Cucumis melo (muskmelon), 4514 nucleotides long. RefSeq lists it as uncharacterized. The transcript has 2 exons. Lineage: Eukaryota; Viridiplantae; Streptophyta; Magnoliopsida; Cucurbitales; Cucurbitaceae. The record is from RefSeq and is a predicted model, not a curated record.